UGGCUACGGUUUGGUGUGAGAAAAGAGAUGGGUGUUUCACUCCCUGCUGCAUCCCUGGUGACGGCCCUGGCAUUUCGGGGCAUGAGAUCUUUGCUUAAAGGUUUUGCGGUGGUCACUGCACAGGGGGUGGGGGUGGGGUCCCUUGGUGCAAUUUAUCCGAUUCUGCUGCGUGGAUGACAUCCACAGUGUUCCUCUCCAGUGGGGAUUAUCUGAGACCUUUCCGCAUGCCCGCACCCACAGUCCGCUCCCUCACGGCAGCAUGAACUCAGGAGGCGGGCGUUCCCACAGUCAUUACAUUUGCAGGGCCUCUCUAUGUCCACUCUGAUGCCUGAGGACCAGCGCUUCCACGAAGGUGUGGCCACGUCCAGUGCUGCUCAUUGGCUUCUCUCCUGCGGGAAUGUUCUGAUCCCGAACGGAGCCUGAGCAUGCGCGAAACCCUUCCCACGUUCACAAGGUGCUUCUCCAGUGUUCCAUUACAUCUCACCUAUGCACACUACAUGCAUACGGUUUCCACCGGCUGUGCGUGUCCCUAGAAGUCACAUUCACGGCGUUUCUCCCUGGGAGGAAUUCUCCCGUGCAUGGCUGCUCUGAGACCAUUUGCACCUGCGGCCACGCGUGGGCUCCUCGAGGCUUACAAACCAGGCUGGACUCCUGAAGCCCUAGCUGCACUUGGCACUCGGCGAGGUUUUUCUACAAAAUCUCAUCUCAGCCAUCUGAGUCCUUCACCAUUUAUCUUAUGAAUCCGCUCGAACGUACAAGGAAGGCCUCUCUGCCCUCCUGCUCCAGGGAGGAGGUUUUGACCCUCAGCUCCACCUCUGCGGCUGGCCCGGUCUCCGCAAACCUUUUUCUGCUUGGCCAGCUGGUGCCAUGCUAGGCUUUCCCACUAGGGGCGCCAGAGAAAGCGCGCGAGGCUGCGGAGGAGAGAGGGGCACACUCUUUCCGGUUUGCUUCCGGUUUUUUCCUCAGGCUUCCGGUCUGUUUGGUGCCCUGGUCGCGUGUCUUCCGAACUCUGCUGCUUCGCCCCGGCAAGAGCACUUCCUUCCGCGGCUGCUAAAACUGGUGCGCGGGUUCCCAACUUCGCAGAAGAGCUUCAUCGGCCCCCCGCUAGAGACCUCAGACCGCAGCCAUCGACGCCUCGCCUCGGGGAUCUGUCCCCACCCUCGGGGCCAGCUCACCAUGAGUCAGGCCCUGUGCUAGGUGCUGGGAUGAAGCAGUGACUGACACAGGCCUGGACCUGUCCUUGGGAAGAGUGCGUCUGUGACACAGAUACUGUGCCAUGUGGCAAAGUAAGCGCGUGGGACAGCAGAGCCUUGUUUGCCAUUAAAGUAAUAUCACAAGUCUGUUAAGGUUGGAGAAUCAAGUGAACAUGCUGAAAAGUUAUGGGGAAUGUAGUCUCAUAGCUGGGGGAGCUGGGGGCCUUGUCAAUUGGUUCCCCCAGUCUGGAGAGCAAUCUGAGAGUAAGUAGUGACACUGUGUGUGCUGAGUGUGUCUGUGGGGGUGUUUUUGGAUAAAAUUAACAUUUGAAUUUGUGAACUGAGUGAAGCAGAGUGCCCUUCAUAAUGUGGGUGGGCCUCAUUCAAUUAGUUCAAGGCCCGCAUAGGAACCACCUCCUGCCUGACUGAACCGGGACCUACGUCUUUUCUUGCCUUCAGACUUGAAUGGAGACAUCAGCUCUUUGUGGGUCUCAAGUCUACUGGCUUUCAAUCAGCUCUUCUGCUUGACAGCUGCAGGUCUUGGGACUGCCCAGCCCCCAUAACCCUGUGAGUGCAUUCCUGAUAAUAACCCUCUUUCUCUUGUCCUCCCCCACCCCACAUCAUUGGUUCUGUUUCUCUGGAGAACCAUAAUACAUCAUUUACUAAUCAGGAAAUAGAUUCAGAGACAUUAAUAACUCAUCCAACCUCACAGUUAACUGUAGAGUUGGGCUUGAAAUUCCAAGGUCGAUUUUCUUAGCCAAUACACCAUGCUACAUAUAUGUAUGUAAAAAUAAAAACGCUUGUGAACUGAAAAGGGUCCAAACUUAAGCUCAUUUUGGUCCUUAAUUGCUAAUCCAUAGGCAUGUUUUGGUCCUUAAUUGCUAAUCCAUAAGCAUGUUUCGGUCCUUAUUUGCUAAUCCAUAGGCCUGCACACCU
Molecule: long non-coding RNA, 2129 nt
Filed under: Homo sapiens (human)
Lineage: Eukaryota; Metazoa; Chordata; Mammalia; Primates; Hominidae
Description: HSALNT0145332
Source: RNAcentral